AAAAAGAUAAGCUAAAAUUUAAGCUAUUAGGUUCAUACCCUAAAUAUAGGUUAACCCUUCUUUUUA
Molecule: transfer RNA, 66 nt
Filed under: Corythucha marmorata
Lineage: Eukaryota; Metazoa; Arthropoda; Insecta; Hemiptera; Tingidae
Description: tRNA-Met
Source: RNAcentral